UCAUCGUCUGAUCACCGAAAAAUGAGCACCUGCAAAAAAAAGUCCACACUGACCGGAGAUGCCUCCGACGUGGAUCCUCCAACGGUCAAGUCAGAGAGGAGACUAGGCAACAGUAGAGAGGAAUCAGGGGACUCAGCGAUGGAGAGAGGAAGAGAGGUUCUCCAGCCCUUUUUGUAAGCUGCUGCCUUACCCCAUUUUAUAGUAGGAGGUGAUAUGGUCCCGCUGUCGGUGAUGUAGACAACUGAAGAGUUGUCAAAUCACCGGGGGUUGUCAUGUCGUCGACGGACUGA
Molecule: long non-coding RNA, 290 nt
Filed under: Elaeis guineensis (African oil palm)
Lineage: Eukaryota; Viridiplantae; Streptophyta; Magnoliopsida; Arecales; Arecaceae
Description: long non-coding RNA (EGUI_LNC025620)
Source: RNAcentral